GCUGAUUUGAACAACGAUUUGUAUUAUGCUAAAAACAAAACCAUAACAAGUCCACUUAAAUAUAGACCAAAGUGAUUUUGAAAGUGGUUGCAGUACUGCAGUAUGAUACCCAAAUUCAUCUGGAUGAGUUAACUCAGAACUUUGCAUUGCAAGAUCUCAAGAGCAAGAUACUCUGUCCCUUUAUGACUUUUUCUGACCGGGUUUAUGUAUAUGUGCCUGUGUUGCUAUAUGAUAUAUUUGAGAUUGUCCUGUAUUUUUUGUCUGAAUAAGAUUUAUGUCCUGUCAAUAUGAAUGUAGAUUGCAUAAAACAGAAAAUCUGUACUAAUCCUCUCUCUGUGAAUAGCAUCAGGGUCCAGGUUUAGUAAACUACUGAAAUACAAGGUGAGCUUCUAAUAUAUCUAGAUUUCUAGCUAUUUAUCACACAUACAUACCAACACACAAUACAUUGCAACAUUUUUAACACGUUUAUACAUCAUUAGAUGUUACUACUCCCACAAGUACCCCAACAAGAUCCCUGUCCCCUAGUGGUAUUGAACAAACACAGAUUUGUUUAUUAGUUUAUUUAAUAUCAUCAUUCCACUAUGCAAGUUGAUAAUACAUAGACAAAUCUGGACAGAAUAUACUCUUUGUACUGUUAUUACAGGUGUUUUCUAAAUAUAAUGCCUUGUAUUGAUACUUCCAGAUAGCUGCUGAGAACAUCAUCAAUAUUUUAAUCCCACAUUAUGUAUUUUGCACCACCAUUUUGAGGCAAACUGGCAGCAAUCUGGACAUUUGGGCAAAGUGAUUAAAAACUUUCAAAAUGGCACCCACCAAACUAUUUAAGUCACACUGGUGCUGCUCAAUCCAGAGGACCCACCUCAAACAGCAUAAAGGCCAGGCAUUUAGUGUAAAUGCACACAAAAUUCCAAAUUACCGAGUGACAAUGUUUCAACUCAAUUUAGCCACUGUCAAGCCUUGAUAAAGGCUGUGUUGUGCCAAAACAUUGUCACUCUGUGAUUUAGAAUAGAAAGUCCUGUUUGCACUUACACUGGUGCUUGGUCCUAUUUUCUUCUAGAAUUUGGGGGGAAAAAGAGGGUUCAAUGUUCCUUGUAGUUAUUUUGUUUCCCACAGACAAAAAUAGUACUGGCUUAUCUGGCUCACAGUUGCUCUGGUACAAAUUGUGACCUUUGCAUCUCUGUUCCUUUAGCAACUGGCAAUUGAACUAUGCCUGGUUGUCUUAUAGUUAUUAUGACCAUGGUUCUAUUUAAUUGCCUCUUUAACAUAUGCAUAUAUUUCCAAACUUUGCAUUUGAUUCACUAAAGAUUUGAAGACGUUAGUAAGUAUUGUAUGCCCUAAUUAAUUUUUACUAAUAUGUAUAUCAAAGCACACAAUAUAGAAACUGGUAAACAUUUAAAUCAUAUAAAAUAAACUGUAGUAUUUCUUGUAAGUAAAAAUUGCAUAUAGAUAUUUGAUGACAAAAGAAAAACUUUACAGGCGUAAGCGCAAUAAGUUGGAUGUGAGUAUGUAGGACAGACAUGAACGGAGAAAUUCAUAAUUUGUAGAAAGAUGCUGAAACUUGUGGGAAUUUGUUUCUCUGCUAAGGAUUCUUUUAAUAGGAGAUCAGAUAAAGAGAAACCAUGUAUUUCUGUAACUUCAUACUGCCAACGUUUUGAACUGAAGCAUUUACAAGAAAUGUAUGAUUAUGGGUUUCUUGAAUAAAAUGUUUUGCAAAACUGAAAUGUGAAAUCAUAUUAAGGGUCCAGGCUUGUAAAACCAACAGGGAUCUGCUAGCAUCUAAAGCUUGACUUAUAUACCAAAUGAUACCGCACUCAAUAGAAUAGAUAUAACUGAAUAUAAAUGUAUUAGCAAAAAUGCAAGCUAUCUCAUAUAAAGACAAGAGAACACCAUAUAUUUAUAUAUGAAAAAUAUCUUAUCCACUAUACUAUUAAGUGCAAAAAAAAGUGCUAAAGUGCAAAAUAUCACAUCACCAUGGUUCCUAAAUGAACAUUUAUAAAAUACAACCAUUAAUGCCUGUUUCAAAAUCCUCUGCACAGAAUAAACCGCAUGGUCCAGCAAAACAGACUGUACAUAAAGGUAUUGAGUUGUAUGAGGAAAACAAUCCUGGUAAUUUACAUCAAAGUUAAACAAUAGGGAUCCCAGAACAAAACUCAAAGUUGAAAAAAAAAAAAAAAGGUCAUGGACUGAUCUCACCCAUGGGUUUGGCUGGGAGGCCUCCUGUUUGCUUUAAGAGUCCCAAAUCCAGAUGGAUAUACUCUUCUGUAAUGUGUCCCAAGUGUUAUCUUUAGAAACUCCCACUGGAGAACAGAGAGACUGGAGAUGAAUGUGUGCAAAGAUGUGGAUUAUUCCUAGUGAUAGCAGGAUGCAGGCUGGAGAAUUUGGGCCCCGAAUUCUCCAGCCUGCAUCCUGCUGUCACUAGGAGGAAUCCACAUCUUUGCACACAUUCAUCUCCAGUCUCUCUGUUCUCCAGUGGGAGUUUCUAAAGAUAACACUUGGGACACAUUACAGAAGAGUAUAUCCAUCUGGAUUUGGGACUCUUAAAGCAAACAGGAGGCCUCCCAGCCAAACCCAUGGGUGAGAUCAGUCCAUGACCUUUUUUUUCCAACAUUGAGUUUUGUUCUGGGAUCCCUCUUUUUUAACUUUGAUGUACAUUACCAGGAUUUUUGUCUCACACAACUCAAUACCUUUAUGUACAGUCUGUUGUUUUGCUGGACCAUGCGGUUUAUUCUGUGCAGAGGAUUUUAAAACAGGCAUUAAUGG
This is a non-coding RNA of Pelobates cultripes (western spadefoot toad), 2757 nucleotides long. Lineage: Eukaryota; Metazoa; Chordata; Amphibia; Anura; Pelobatidae. The record is from the annotation of a GenBank genome assembly.